RNAcentral lists this ribosomal RNA (433 nucleotides) under uncultured bacterium. Its description in RNAcentral is "partial 16S ribosomal RNA". It matches the Rfam family "Bacterial small subunit ribosomal RNA", at positions 29 to 507 of the family's 1533-position model. The record is from RNAcentral.
AACGAACGCUGGCGGCAUGCCUAACACAUGCAAGUCGAACGAGACCUCCGGGCCUAGUGGCUAACGGGUUCGUAACGCGUGGGAACCUGCCCUUAGGUUCGGACUAACUCCCCGAAAUGGGUCCUAAUACCUGAUAAUGUCUUCGGACCAAAGAGUUGUCGCCUUUGGAUGGGGCCGCGUUGGUUUAGCUAGUUGGUAGGGUAAAAGCCUACCAAGGCGACGAUCCAUAGCUGGACGGAGAGGAUGAUCAGCGAGACUGGGACUGAGACAAGGCCCAGACUGGUGCGGGAGGCAGCAGUGGGGGAUAUUGGGGCAUGGGCGUGAGGCUGAGACAGCGAGGCGGGGUGGGUGAUGAAGGCGUUAGGGUUGUAAAGCUCUUUGGACCGGGAUGAUAGUGACAGUACCGGGAGAAUAAGCUCCGGCUAACUACGUG